Molecule: long non-coding RNA, 224 nt
Filed under: Callithrix jacchus (white-tufted-ear marmoset)
Lineage: Eukaryota; Metazoa; Chordata; Mammalia; Primates; Cebidae
Description: lncRNA (ENSCJAG00000072167.1)
Source: RNAcentral
UACCUUGCAAGGGGUAGCCUCAGAAAUGAAGGCUUACUUCUGUGGUAGAUUUGCAUAUAAAUAGGCACUAAAUAUUAGUAGCGACUAUUUUUUUUAUUGGAAGAGAGGCUGAAAUGCUAUCAGAAGGAGAGAGAAAAGGCUGCACCAGCCAAACGGGGUCCUGCAUGUUUGAGGGGACUUCAAUAGAGUGGAUGGAUUUUAGGGCCUAGGGGAGGACCAGACAU